This 253-nucleotide ribosomal RNA is filed under the name uncultured bacterium. RNAcentral's name for it is "partial 16S ribosomal RNA". It matches the Rfam family "Bacterial small subunit ribosomal RNA", at positions 524 to 776 of the family's 1533-position model. The record is from RNAcentral.
UACGUAGGGUGCGAGCGUUAAUCGGAAUUACUGGGCGUAAAGAGCGCGCAGGCGGUCGUCCAAGUCGCGUGUGAAAGCCCCCGGCUCAACUGGGGAGGGUCACGCGAUACUGGUCGACUCGAAGGCAGGAGAGGGUAGUGGAAUUCCCGGUGUAGUGGUGAAAUGCGUAGAUAUCGGGUGGAACACCAGUGGCGAAGGCGACUACCUGGCCUGUUCUUGACGCUGAGGCGCGAAAGCUAGGGGAGCAAACGGG